Molecule: ribosomal RNA, 429 nt
Filed under: uncultured eukaryote
Lineage: Eukaryota
Description: bacterial SSU rRNA
Rfam family: Eukaryotic small subunit ribosomal RNA
Source: RNAcentral
CAAUAGCGUAUUCAAAUGUUGUUGCAGUUAAAAGCUCGUAGUUGGAUAUCAGAACUCGUGGAAUUGGCCCGUCGCCUUUGUGUGAUUGAGUGCUAGUGAAGCGGUUCUUUCUUUUCCGAGAAGGUGCUCUCCCUUUAAUUAGUGGUGGAGUUUUCCAACUUGGAUCUGUUACCUUGAAUAAAUUAGAGUGUUCAAAGCAAGCUUACGCUGUGAAUAUUUUAGCAUGGAAUAACGACAUAGGACUUUGUUGUCUAUUUCGUUGGUUUCUAGACUCGAAGUAAUGAUUGAUAGGGACAGUUGGGGGUGCUGGUAUUAUAUGGCCAGAGGUGAAAUUCUUGGAUUUGUUAAAGACGGACUACUGCGAAAGCAUUUGCCAAGGAUGUUUUCAUUGAUCAAGAACGAAAGUUAGGGGAUCGAAGAUGAUCAGAU